This 201-nucleotide ribosomal RNA is filed under the name uncultured bacterium. RNAcentral's name for it is "partial 16S ribosomal RNA". It matches the Rfam family "Bacterial small subunit ribosomal RNA", at positions 328 to 539 of the family's 1533-position model. The record is from RNAcentral.
ACGCUCGACACCUACGGGAGGGAGCAGUGGGGAAUAUUGGGCAAUGGGCGCAAGCCUGACCCAGCAACGCCGCGUGAAGGAAGAAGGCUUUCGGGUUGUAAACUUCUUUUAUCAGGGACGAAAUAAAUGACGGUACCUGUUGAAUAAGCCACGGCUAACUACGUGCUAGCAGCCGCGGUAAUCUGAGCGGGCUGGCAAGGC